RNAcentral lists this transfer RNA (77 nucleotides) under Verrucomicrobiota bacterium JB022. Its description in RNAcentral is "tRNA-Arg". It matches the Rfam family "tRNA". From Rfam's summary of the family: Transfer RNA (tRNA) molecules are approximately 80 nucleotides in length. The record is from RNAcentral. Lineage: Bacteria; Pseudomonadati; Verrucomicrobiota.
GCGGGAGUAGCUCAGAUGGAUAGAGCAAGCGUUUCCUAAACGCUAGGUCAUGGGUUCGAAUCCCAUCUCUCGCGCCA